UUCGGAUUGUAGUCUGCAACCCGACUACAUGAAGCUGGAAUCGCUAGUAAUCGCGAAUCAGAAUGUCGCGGUGAAUACGUUCCCGGGUCUUGUACACACCGCCCGUCACACCAUGGGAGUCGGAAAUGCCCGAAGUCAGUGACCUAACCGAAAGGGAGGAGCUGCCGAAGGUGGAGCCGGUAACUGGGGUGAAGUCGUAACAAGGUAGC
Molecule: ribosomal RNA, 209 nt
Filed under: uncultured bacterium
Lineage: Bacteria
Description: partial 16S ribosomal RNA
Rfam family: Bacterial small subunit ribosomal RNA
Source: RNAcentral